GGACUACACGGGUAUCUAAUCCCGUUUGCUCCCCUAGCUUUCGCGCCUCAGCGUCAGAAGAGAUCCAGGAGCUCGCUUUCGCCACCGGAGUUCCUUCCAAUAUCAACGCAUUUCACCGCUCCACUGGAAGUUCCAGCUCCCCCUAUCUCGCUCAAGUCCAUCAGUAUCUCAGGCACUUUUCCGGUUAAGCCGAAAGAUUUCACCCCAGACUUGAUGGACCGCCUACGCGCCCUUUAAGCCCAGUGAUUCCGAACAACGUUCGCACGGUUCGUCUUACCGCGGCUGCUGGCAC
This 292-nucleotide ribosomal RNA is filed under the name uncultured Planctomycetota bacterium. RNAcentral's name for it is "uncultured planctomycete partial 16S ribosomal RNA". Lineage: Bacteria; Pseudomonadati; Planctomycetota. The record is from RNAcentral.